CCUACGGGCGGCAGCAGUGGGGGAUAUUGCACAAUGGGGGAAACCCUGAUGCAGCGACGCCGCGUGUGGGAAGACGGUCCUCUGGAUUGUAAACCACUGUCCCCAGGGACGAAAAUGACGGUACCUGGGGAGGAAGCUCCGGCGAACUACGUGCCAGCAGCCGCGGUAAUACGUAGGGAGCGAGCGUUGUCCGGAAUUACUGGGUGUAAAGGGAGCGUAGGCGGGGGUGCAAGUUGGGUGUCAAAACUACCGGCUCAACUGGUAGUCGCACUCAAAACUGCAGCUAUUGAGUGAAGUAGAGGCAGGCGGAAUGCCUAGUGUAGCGGGGAAAUGCGUAGAUAUGAGGAGGAACACCAGUGGCGAAGGCGGCCUGCUGGGCUUUUACUGACGCUGAGGCUCGAAAGUGUGGGGAGCAAACAGGAUUAGAUACCCGAGUAGUC
Molecule: ribosomal RNA, 440 nt
Filed under: uncultured bacterium
Lineage: Bacteria
Description: partial 16S ribosomal RNA
Rfam family: Bacterial small subunit ribosomal RNA
Source: RNAcentral